This is a long non-coding RNA of Octopus sinensis (East Asian common octopus), 845 nucleotides long. RefSeq lists it as uncharacterized. NCBI's taxonomy places the organism in Eukaryota, Metazoa, Mollusca, Cephalopoda, Octopoda, Octopodidae. The record is from RefSeq and is a predicted model, not a curated record. The transcript has 3 exons.
AGGAAUGAAAGGUAGAACAAGAGGAGGAGGAGGAGGAGGAGGAAAGGAAAGACGAAGAGGAAUAGGAAGAGGAAAGACGACCAAUGGGAUGAUUUCCGAAACCGUUGUGGAAAUUUCUCUUACAAUGCUUCGACCCAUUAGUUUCCUGAUAACUCGAACGAUGCGUUAAGAAUUCCAUCAUGCUUACAAAUACAUAGACACAGCAUACUCUGGUAAAUCUGUAUAAAGUUGAAAUGAUUCAGUAAUAUUAGAUUCCUUUUCAUUCGGAGAAGAUAUGCAGACGCUCAGUAGAAAGAAAUCGAGACGAAAAGAAUGAAAUCACUGCAGACGGCGUUCAGUUCAUAUGAACUUCAGUUAAGUGACAAACGUUUGAAUCGCAAAGCCAGAGAUCACAUUUUUUUUUUUUAUCAAGACUUUUCCUUCGCAUUCUUUUGUAAGGAAAUGAAUUACAAAGGAAGAAACAUUGAACUUAGAGAAAAAUAAUUUGACUGCUACAGUAUGAAAACGCACCUGCUCACUCGCCAUUCGUUGUUGCUAUCUUUUUGGUACAACAACAAAUGAUUUUCUUCCACCAGACAGCUUAGUUGCCAAAUUUUGUCGCUGCAAACAUUUUUUCCCGAAGGUAAAAUCUAGAUUGAAAGGUAUCUGAUUUCAACGACAGAAGAGAUAAAAGAAAGAACAUUUUACUACACCUGCAAAAUACGGCGGAAAACGAAUUCCAAAAUUGAAACCUAAAACAUUUGAGCUGUGUAUAAUCAAAGAAUGGAACAUUAACAUUCAAAAUUGCAAUAACUAAUGCUAUUCUAAGUAAAGCAAUAGAUUUCAUAUGCAUUUCUACUUUUAAA